GCUGGGCAUGGUGGCGCGUGCCUGUAAUCCCAGCUACUCGGGAGGCUGAGGCAGGAGAAUUGCCUGAACCCAGGAGGUGGAGGUUGUGGUGAGCCGAGAUCGCGCCAUUGCACUCCAGCCUGGGUAACAAGAGUGAAACUCCGUCUCAAAAAAAAAAAAAAAAAGACAGAGUCUUGCUCUGUCACCCAGGGUGGAGUGCAGUGGUGCAAUCUCAGCUCACUGCAGCCUUCACCUCCUGGGUUCAAGUGAUUCUCCUGUCUCAG
This is an unclassified non-coding RNA of Callithrix jacchus (white-tufted-ear marmoset), 263 nucleotides long. It matches the Rfam family "Metazoan signal recognition particle RNA". Rfam says of the family: The signal recognition particle (SRP) is a universally conserved ribonucleoprotein. It is involved in the co-translational targeting of proteins to membranes. Lineage: Eukaryota; Metazoa; Chordata; Mammalia; Primates; Cebidae. The record is from Ensembl.